Molecule: non-coding RNA, 84 nt
Organism: Shewanella putrefaciens 200
Lineage: Bacteria; Pseudomonadati; Pseudomonadota; Gammaproteobacteria; Alteromonadales; Shewanellaceae
Source: Rfam
CUACUAACAUCAUGAGGUGUUGGGAUGGACUACCAGAAGUCAGCCGAAGCCGUAGUAGUGUUGCUAACCAACAGCAUGAAGGGC